AACGAACGCUGGCGGCAUGCCCAACACAUGCAAGUCGAACGAGACCUUCGGGUCUAGUGGCGCACGGGUGCGUAACGCGUGGGAACCUGCCCUUAGGUUCGGAAUAACUCCCCGAAAGGGGUGCUAAUACCGGAUAAUGUCUUCGGACCAAAGAUUUAUCGCCUUUGGAUGGGCCCGCGUUGGAUUAGCUAGUUGGUAGGGUAAAAGCCUACCAAGGCGACGAUCCAUAGCUGGUCUGAGAGGAUGAUCAGCCACACUGGGACUGAGACACGGCCCAGACUCCUACGGGAGGCAGCAGUGGGGAAUAUUGGACAAUGGGCGAAAGCCUGAUCCAACAAUGCCGCGUGAGUGAUGAAGGCCUUAGGGUUGUAAAGCUCUUUUACCCGGGAUGAUAAUGACAGUACCGGGAGAAUAAGCUCCGGCUAACUCCGUG
Molecule: ribosomal RNA, 433 nt
Filed under: uncultured bacterium
Lineage: Bacteria
Description: partial 16S ribosomal RNA
Rfam family: Bacterial small subunit ribosomal RNA
Source: RNAcentral